RNAcentral lists this microRNA precursor (98 nucleotides) under Otolemur garnettii (small-eared galago). Its description in RNAcentral is "mir-544 microRNA precursor family". It matches the Rfam family "mir-544 microRNA precursor family". The record is from Rfam by way of RNAcentral. Lineage: Eukaryota; Metazoa; Chordata; Mammalia; Primates; Galagidae.
AUCUCCUAGGGAAUAUUGUUAAAAUGCAGAUUCUGAUUCAGUGGGUCUGGGUUCAGACUGAGAUUCUGCAUUUGUAGCAAAUUACCAAGUGAUGGCUC